This 20-nucleotide non-coding RNA is filed under the name Arabidopsis thaliana (thale cress). The record is from RNAcentral. Lineage: Eukaryota; Viridiplantae; Streptophyta; Magnoliopsida; Brassicales; Brassicaceae.
UGAUAUUCUUGGCUGCUUGU